GGAAGGGUGCUCGAGUGGUUGAAGAGGCACGCCUGGAAAGCGUGUAAGCGUCAAAAGCGCUUCGGGGGUUCGAAUCCCCCUCCUUCCG
RNAcentral lists this transfer RNA (88 nucleotides) under Bacteroidales bacterium. Its description in RNAcentral is "tRNA-Ser". It matches the Rfam family "tRNA". From Rfam's summary of the family: Transfer RNA (tRNA) molecules are approximately 80 nucleotides in length. Their secondary structure includes four short double-helical elements and three loops (D, anti-codon, and T loops). Further hydrogen bonds mediate the characteristic L-shaped molecular structure. tRNAs have two regions of fundamental functional importance: the anti-codon, which is responsible for specific mRNA codon recognition, and the 3' end, to which the tRNAs corresponding amino acid is attached (by aminoacyl-tRNA synthetases). tRNAs cope with the degeneracy of the genetic code in two manners: having more than one tRNA (with a specific anti-codon) for a particular amino acid; and 'wobble' base-pairing, i.e. permitting non-standard base-pairing at the 3rd anti-codon position. Lineage: Bacteria; Pseudomonadati; Bacteroidota; Bacteroidia; Bacteroidales. The record is from RNAcentral.